Molecule: ribosomal RNA, 255 nt
Filed under: uncultured bacterium
Lineage: Bacteria
Description: partial 16S ribosomal RNA
Rfam family: Bacterial small subunit ribosomal RNA
Source: RNAcentral
GAUCCUGGCUCAGGAUGAACGCUGGGGGCGUGCUUAACACAUGCAAGUCGAACGAAGCACUUGGGAUUGAUUCUUCGGAUGAUUUCUCUUGUGACUUAGUGGCGGACGGGUGAGUAACGCGUGGGUAACCUGCCUCACACAGGGGGAUAACAGUUGGAAACGACCGCUAAUACCGCAUAACCCGCUAGGGCCGCAUGGCCCGGACGGAAAAGAUUUAUCGGUGUGAGAUGGACCCGCGUUGGAUUAGCUAGUUGG